AGGACGAACGCUGGCGACGUGCUUAACACAUGCAAGUCGAGCGGAAAGGCCCUUCGGGGUAUUCGAGCGGCGAACGGGUGAGUAACACGUGAGUAAUCUGCCCCUAGCUCUGGGAUAGCUCCGGGAAACCGGGAUUAAUACCAGAUACGACCACUUUAGACAUCUGUUGUGGUGGAAAGAAUUUUGGCUAGGGAUGAGCUCGCGGCCUAUCAGCUUGUUGGUGAGGUAACGGCUCACCAAGGCGACGACGGGUAGCCGGCCUGAGAGGGCGACCGGCCACACUGGGACUGAGACACGGCCCAGACUCCUACGGGAGGCAGCAGUGGGGAAUAUUGCGCAAUGGGCGAAAGCCUGACGCAGCGACGCCGCGUGGGGGAUGAAGGCCUUCGGGUUGUAAACCCUUUCAGCAGGGACGAAGCGAAAGUGACGGUACCUGCAGAAGAAGCGCCGGCUAACUACGUGCCAGCAGCCGC
RNAcentral lists this ribosomal RNA (473 nucleotides) under uncultured bacterium. RNAcentral's name for it is "SSU rRNA". It matches the Rfam family "Bacterial small subunit ribosomal RNA", at positions 26 to 518 of the family's 1533-position model. The record is from RNAcentral.